Molecule: ribosomal RNA, 1281 nt
Filed under: Triticum aestivum (bread wheat)
Lineage: Eukaryota; Viridiplantae; Streptophyta; Magnoliopsida; Poales; Poaceae
Description: partial small subunit ribosomal RNA
Source: RNAcentral
AUGCGCAGCUCCGCCGCAGCCAAUCCCGCGCCCCACCUCCACUUGGCAGAGCUCAACAGCUUUCCCCCUCCUCGCUCCUGCCUUCCCUUCCUCGUGAGGCGGGCCGAAACGGCUCUGAGGCGACGCGCACACUGUCAUUCAUCCCGCAGAUCCACGCAGAACCAACUCCAUUCUUUAGAGAUCCCGGAGCGGAUUUCGCACGGGAACCCACCGCCCACAAGCCGCCGCGUGAUCCUGCUCCUGCUCCUCGUCGUCGUCCUAGGGGCCAUGGGGAACAGCAUAUACAAGUUCCUGUGCGGGGUCUGCUCGGACCUCUCCGACGCCGCCUUCCAGCCGCACGGCGGGGACGCCUCCGUCGCCGCGCUCGGCCGCGACAUCCUCGAGUUCCAGCGCACCAAGCAGGUCCCCGAGGGCCUCAGCCGCCACGUCGUCUCCUCCGCCGCCGCGCAGGCCAACUGGUACAAGAAGCUGCAAGUGGCAUGGAAGAAGGCGAGGCCAGCCCCGACCACGCCGGAGGAGGCCGGCCGCCUCGUGGUGCUGACGCUGAAGAACCACCAGAAGGCGGACGUCGACGGCCUGCUCGCCUUCUACGGCCUCCCGCACCCGAACGAGGCGGGAUCGGCGCCGCCGCCCGCCGCCGGUCACCACGCCCCUCCGGCCCAGCACAGCGCCCCCGCGCACAAGCCGCAGGGCGUCAAGUUCGAGCUGCACACGCUCCCGGUGGACGCCAAGGCGGUGGCGGACGGCGACACGGUGACGGUGUACGUGGACACGAAUGACGCCCCCAGCGAGAUCAAGAAGGCCGCGGCGGAGCGCACCAAGGCGCGCGCCGCCAGGAACUACCCCACGGCCGACGCGCUCCAGAAGACCAUCGCCGCCGCGGGAUACAGAAUGGUUCCCAACGCCAAGGGCGUUGAGGUGCUCGCCAAGAAGUACAGGAUCAGGCUAAGUGGGAUCGACGCGCCGGAGAGCGCGAUGCCGUACGGGAAGGAGGCCACGGAGGCGCUGCUGAAGCUGGUGGAGGGCAAGUGCCUGACGGUGCACGUCUACAACACCGACCGCUACGGCCGGUCCGUCGGGGAUCUCCACGUCGGCGGGGUCUUCGUGCAGGAGCAAAUGCUGAAGAAAGGCUUCGCGUGGCACUACACCGCCUACGACAAACGCCCGGAGCUUGCCAAGUGGCAGAGCCAGGCGCAGGCCGCGCGCAAGGGCCUGUGGGCGGCGUCCAAGCCGCAGGAGCCGUGGGAGUACAGGAAGGCCAAGCGCAACGGCAACGCGUGA